This 497-nucleotide ribosomal RNA is filed under the name uncultured bacterium. RNAcentral describes it as "partial 16S ribosomal RNA". It matches the Rfam family "Bacterial small subunit ribosomal RNA", at positions 28 to 507 of the family's 1533-position model. The record is from RNAcentral.
GACGAACGCUGGCGGCGUGCCUAAUACAUGCAAGUAGAACGCUGAAGCGAGGAGCUUGCUCUUCUUGGGUGAGUUGCGAACGGGUGAGUAACGCGUAGGUAACCUGCCUUGUAGCGGUGGGUAACUAUUGGAAACGAUAGCUAAUACCGCAUAACAUCGGCUGACACAUGUCUUUUAUUUGAAAGGGGCAAUUGCUCCACUAUAAGCUGGACCUGCGUUGUAUUAGCUAGUAGGUGAGGUAAUGGCUCACCUAGGCGAGGAUACAUAGCCGACCGGAGAGGGUGAUCGGCCACACUGGGACUGAGACACGGCCCAGACGCCUACGGGAGGCAGCAGGAGGGAAUCGUCGGCAAUGGGGGCAACCCAGACCGAGCAACGCCGCGUGAGUGAAGAAGGAUUUCGGAUCGUAAAGGUCUGUUGUAAGUCAAGAACGGGUGUGAGGGUGGAAAGUUCACACUGUGACGGUAGCUUACCAGAAAGGGACGGCUAACUACGUG